RNAcentral lists this ribosomal RNA (463 nucleotides) under uncultured Entrophospora. RNAcentral describes it as "SSU rRNA". It matches the Rfam family "Eukaryotic small subunit ribosomal RNA", at positions 569 to 1031 of the family's 1831-position model. The record is from RNAcentral. Lineage: Eukaryota; Fungi; Glomeromycota; Glomeromycetes; Entrophosporales; Entrophosporaceae.
AGCAGCCGCGGUAAUUCCAGCUCCAAUAGCGUAUAUUAAAGUUGUUGCAGUUAAAAAGCUCGUAGUUGAAUUUCGGGAUUGACACAUCGGUCGUGCCUUAAGGGGUAUGAACUGGUGUAGUCAAUUUCUCACCUUCUGGAGAACCACGAUGCCCUUAAUUGGGUGUCGCGGGGAACCAGGACCUUUACUUUGAAAAAUUAGAGUGUUUAAAGCAGGCAUUUUGCUUGAAUACAUUAGCAUGGAAUAAUAAAAUAGGACGGCAUGAUUCUAUUUUGUUGGUUUCUAGGAUCACCGUAAUGAUUAAUAGGGAUAGUUGGGGGCAUUAGUAUUCAAUUGUCAGAGGUGAAAUUCUUGGAUUUAUUGAAGACUAACUACUGCGAAAGCAUUUGCCAAGGAUGUUUUCAUUAAUCAAGAACGAAAGUUAGGGGAUCGAAGACGAUCAGAUACCGUCGUAGUCUUAACC